RNAcentral lists this ribosomal RNA (136 nucleotides) under uncultured eukaryote. RNAcentral describes it as "partial 18S ribosomal RNA". It matches the Rfam family "Eukaryotic small subunit ribosomal RNA", at positions 1299 to 1458 of the family's 1831-position model. The record is from RNAcentral.
UGGUGGAGUGAUUUGUCUGGUUAAUUCCGUUAACGAACGAGACCUUAACCUACUAAAUAGUUGUUUUAACAUUUGUUGAAACUAACUUCUUAGAGGGACUUUGUACGCAAGUGCAAGGAAGUUUGAGGCAAUAACA